AAAAAAAACCCCCUCAUCAUGAGGGGGAAGACAGGGAUGGUGUCUAUGGCAAGGAAAACAGGGUCUACUGGUUA
RNAcentral lists this non-coding RNA (74 nucleotides) under Corythaeola cristata (great blue turaco). Its description in RNAcentral is "Hfq-regulated sRNA 1". It matches the Rfam family "Hfq-regulated sRNA 1". The record is from Rfam by way of RNAcentral. Lineage: Eukaryota; Metazoa; Chordata; Aves; Musophagiformes; Musophagidae. RNAcentral also lists the same sequence under 2 other names.